This 891-nucleotide ribosomal RNA is filed under the name uncultured bacterium. RNAcentral describes it as "bacterial SSU rRNA". It matches the Rfam family "Bacterial small subunit ribosomal RNA", at positions 35 to 916 of the family's 1533-position model. The record is from RNAcentral.
GCUAGCUACAGGCUUAACACAUGCAAGUCGAGGGGAAACGACAUCGAAAGCUUGCUUUUGAUGGGCGUCGACCGGCGCACGGGUGAGUAACGCGUAUCCAACCUGCCCACCACUUGGGGAUAACCUUGCGAAAGUAAGACUAAUACCCAAUGACGUCUCUAGAAGACAUCUGAAGGAGAUUAAAGAUUUAUCGGUGAUGGAUGGGGAUGCGUCUGAUUAGCUUGUUGGCGGGGUAACGGCCCACCAAGGCAACGAUCAGUAGGGGUUCUGAGAGGAAGGUCCCCCACAUUGGAACUGAGACACGGUCCAAACUCCUACGGGAGGCAGCAGUGAGGAAUAUUGGUCAAUGGGCGAGAGCCUGAACCAGCCAAGUAGCGUGCAGGAUGACGGCCCUAUGGGUUGUAAACUGCUUUUAUAAGGGAAUAAAGUGAGUCUCGUGAGACUUUUUGCAUGUACCUUAUGAAUAAGGACCGGCUAAUUCCGUGCCAGCAGCCGCGGUAAUACGGAAGGUCCGGGCGUUAUCCGGAUUUAUUGGGUUUAAAGGGAGCGUAGGCCGGAGAUUAAGCGUGUUGUGAAAUGUAGACGCUCAACGUCUGCACUGCAGCGCGAACUGGUUUCCUUGAGUACGCACAAAGUGGGCGGAAUUCGUGGUGUAGCGGUGAAAUGCUUAGAUAUCACGAAGAACUCCGAUUGCGAAGGCAGCUCACUGGAGCGCAACUGACGCUGAAGCUCGAAAGUGCGGGUAUCGAACAGGAUUAGAUACCCUGGUAGUCCGCACGGUAAACGAUGGAUGCCCGCUGUUGGUCUGAAUAGGUCAGCGGCCAAGCGAAAGCAUUAAGCAUCCCACCUGGGGAGUACGCCGGCAACGGUGAAACUCAAAGGAAUUGACGG